This 753-nucleotide ribosomal RNA is filed under the name fungal sp. Its description in RNAcentral is "eukaryotic LSU rRNA". The stretch from base 255 to 408 matches the Rfam family "5.8S ribosomal RNA". Lineage: Eukaryota; Fungi. The record is from RNAcentral.
GACCUGCGGAAGGAUCAUUACUAGAGCAAAGGAUAGACAGCGCCCGCGGAGCUCGCUCCCGGGGCCACCCUACUCCGGUAGGGUUUAGAGUCGUCGGGCCUCUCGGAGAAGCUCGGUCCUGAACUCCACCCUUGAAUAAACUACCUUUGUUGCUUUGGCGGGCCGCCUCGUGCCAGCGGCUUCGGCUGUUGAGUGCCCGCCAGAGGACCACAACUCUUGUUUUUAGUGAUGUCUGAGUACUAUAUAAUAGUUAAAACUUUCAACAACGGAUCUCUUGGUUCUGGCAUCGAUGAAGAACGCAGCGAAAUGCGAUAAGUAAUGUGAAUUGCAGAAUUCAGUGAAUCAUCGAAUCUUUGAACGCACAUUGCGCCCUCUGGUAUUCCGGGGGGCAUGCCUGUUCGAGCGUCAUUAUAACCACUCAAGCUCUCGCUUGGUAUUGGGGUUCGCGGUUUCGCGGCUCCUAAAAUCAGUGGCGGUGCCUAUCGGCUCUACGCGUAGUAAUACUCCUCGCGAUUGAGUCCGGUAGGUCUACUUGCCAGCAACCCCUAAUUUUUUAAGGUUGACCUCGGAUCAGGUAGGGAUACCCGCUGAACUUAAGCAUAUCAAUAAGCGGAGGAAAAGAAACCAACAGGGAUUACCUCAGUAACGGCGAGUGAAGCGGUAACAGCUCAAAUUUGAAAGCUGGCUCUUUUAGGGUCCGCGUUGUAAUUUGUAGAAGAUGCUUCGGGUGUGGCCCCGGUCUAAGUUCCUUGG